This 23-nucleotide non-coding RNA is filed under the name Arabidopsis thaliana (thale cress). The record is from RNAcentral. Lineage: Eukaryota; Viridiplantae; Streptophyta; Magnoliopsida; Brassicales; Brassicaceae.
UCAGAAAUCCGCUCCGUGUCCGG